GUCCACCACAACACACCCACUCAGGACCCACCACCCGCCCACCACAACACACCCACCCAGGACCCACCACCCGCCCAGGAGUCACAAGAGGACGCUAGCGGGAAGAGGAUUCAUCCCUAUACCAUCGUCGCCUUUGGUCACGGUGCCCGCAUGUGUCCUGGAAGACGUCUGGCCGAGCUGGAGAUCAAGGUGGCACUCGUACAGCUGGUGAAGAACUUCAAGAUGGAGACGGACAGGUCAUCUGAAGGUCACAUAGGUCAGGUCAUGAGACUAAACAUGAUGCCUGACAAAGACUUGGCUGUCACCUUUACUCCCAGACAAGAGUAAACACGGAAGGAAGGAAGGAAGGAAGGAAGGAAGGAAAUGAAAAUAAGACGAUAAGUAAAGAAGAUACUGAGUGUAUUUAAAAUUAUAAACAUAAAAAAAAAUAAGUUGAAGAAAAGAAAGAUAAAAGAAGAAAUGAAGAAAAUUAUAAGAACAGAAAUAUAGUUCCAUCUCCGAAAUGUAAGGAAAUUGAUAAGACGAAAAAGAGAAGAUGGAAAAUGAAGAAAAAAUGAACGAGUAAAAUUAUAAAUAAAACAUUAUGUAAAUAAAACAAAAAAUAACAGACGAAGAGCAGGACAAUUGUUGAAGUUCUACGUGAAAAGAAGUGAAAAUAAUCCGAAGAAUGAAAUAAAAAAGAACAACAAAACAAUACAUUAAUAAUAAUAUUUUGGUACUAAGAAUAAAGGACUAUAUCAUA
Long non-coding RNA from Homarus americanus (American lobster), 742 nucleotides. RefSeq lists it as uncharacterized. The record is from RefSeq and is a predicted model, not a curated record. NCBI's taxonomy places the organism in Eukaryota, Metazoa, Arthropoda, Malacostraca, Decapoda, Nephropidae. The transcript is spliced from 2 exons.